Molecule: ribosomal RNA, 419 nt
Filed under: uncultured bacterium
Lineage: Bacteria
Description: bacterial SSU rRNA
Rfam family: Bacterial small subunit ribosomal RNA
Source: RNAcentral
UGGGGAAUAUUGCACAAUGGGCGCAAGCCUGAUGCAGCAACGCCGCGUGAAGGAUGAAGGUCUUCGGAUUGUAAACUUCUAUCAGUAGGGAAGAAAAGCAACGUAAGUUGCCAUGACGGUACCUAACUAAGAAGCUCCGGCUAACUACGUGCCAGCAGCCGCGGUAAUACGUAGGGAGCAAGCGUUAUCCGGAUUUACUGGGUGUAAAGGGUGCGUAGGCGGCUUGUUAAGUCGGAAGUGAAAUUUCGGGGCUCAACCCCGGAGCUGCUUCCGAAACUGGCGAGCUAGAGUGUGGGAGAGGAAAGUGGAACUUUGAGUGUAGCGGUGAAAUGCGUAGAGAUUCAAAGGAACACCAGUAGCGAAGGCGGCUUUCUGGACCAUAACUGACGCUGAGGCACGAAAGCGUGGGGAGCAAACAG